UAUGGAUGAGAGGAAGAGUCUAGGCCAUCUGCUGCUAGUGAGUCUUCCAGCACAGGUAAAUGGGUGGAUGGUCAUGCCAUGCAUCUCCCACAGUGGUGAAUAUGGGGAAGAAGGAGGUUUGGAAGAGGAUGAACACUUCAGGGCAUUUCUGUUUUAAGGUGCUGACUUUAUUGUGACUAAUUUUUUUGAAAGAUGGUCCUGCUUGCUGGUUGCCUGUUUUUCUACUGAGGAGAAAUGUCUGUUUGAGGUAUGUCCCCUGACUUUCUAGUUAAAAGUUCUGUGUUCUCUGAGGUGCUAAGUAGUUCUAGGAACCAUGGUGAUUGAGGAGAAUUUGAGUCUGUUCUGUUGGGAAGAGUUACUUCUAGGUAGUAGUCUGAGCU
This 380-nucleotide long non-coding RNA is filed under the name Mustela putorius furo (domestic ferret). RNAcentral's name for it is "lncRNA (ENSMPUG00000026676.1)". Lineage: Eukaryota; Metazoa; Chordata; Mammalia; Carnivora; Mustelidae. The record is from RNAcentral.